GACGAACGCUGGCGGCGUGCUUAACACAUGCAAGUCGAACGGUAAGGCUCCAGCUUGCUGGGGUACACGAGUGGCGAACGGGUGAGUAACACGUGGGUGACCUGCCCUGCACUUCGGGAUAAGCCUGGGAAACUGGGUCUAAUACCGGAUAGGACCGCACCGUGAGGGUGUGGUGGAAAGUUUUUUCGGUGUGGGAUGGGCCCGCGGCCUAUCAGCUUGUUGGUGGGGUAAUGGCCUACCAAGGCGGCGACGGGUAGCCGGCCUGAGAGGGUGGACGGCCACAUUGGGACUGAGACACGGCCCAGACUCCUACGGGAGGCAGCAGUGGGGAAUAUUGCACAAUGGGCGGAAGCCUGAUGCAGCGACGCCGCGUGGGGGAUGACGGCCUUCGGGUUGUAAACUCCUUUCACCAUCGACGAAGGGUUUCUGACGGUAGAUGGAGAAGAAGCACCGGCUAACUACGUGCCAGCAGCCGCGGUAAUACGUAGGGUGCGAGCGUUGUCCGGAAUUACUGGGCGUAAAGAGCUCGUAGGUGGUUUGUCGCGUCGUCUGUGAAAUUCCGGGGCUUAACUCCGGGCGUGCAGGCGAUACGGGCAUAACUUGAGUACUGUAGGGGAGACUGGAAUUCCUGGUGUAGCGGUGAAAUGCGCAGAUAUCAGGGGGAACACCGGUGGCGAAGGCGGGUCUCUGGGCAGUAACUGACGCUGAGGAGCGAAAGCAUGGGGAGCGAACAGGAUUAGAUACCCUGGUAGUCCAUGCCGUAAACGGUGGGCGCUAGGUGUGGGUUUCCUUCCACGGGAUCCGUGCCGUAGCUAACGCAUUAAGCGCCCCGCCUGGGGAGUACGGCCGCAAGGCUAAAACUCAAAGGAAUUGACGGGGGCCCGCACAAGCGGCGGAGCAUGUGGAUUAAUUCGAUGCAACGCGAAGAACCUUACCUGGGCUUGACAUAUACAGGAUCGCGCCAGAGAUGGUGUUUCCCUUGUGGCUUGUAUACAGGUGGUGCAUGGUUGUCGUCAGCUCGUGUCGUGAGAUGUUGGGUUAAGUCCCGCAACGAGCGCAACCCUUGUCUUAUGUUGCCAGCACGUUGUGGUGGGGACUCGUAAGAAACUGCCGGGGUUAACUCGGAGGAAGGUGGGGAUGACGUCAAAUCAUCAUGCCCCUUAUGUCCAGGGCUUCACACAUGCUACAAUGGUCGGUACAGUGGGUUGCCAGUCCGUGAGGGCGAGCUAAUCCCGCAAAGCCGGUCUCAGUUCGGAUCGGGGUCUGCAACUCGACCCCGUGAAGUCGGAGUCGCUAGUAAUCGCAGAUCAGCAACGCUGCGGUGAAUACGUUCCCGGGCCU
This 1341-nucleotide ribosomal RNA is filed under the name uncultured bacterium. RNAcentral's name for it is "16S ribosomal RNA". It matches the Rfam family "Bacterial small subunit ribosomal RNA", at positions 28 to 1381 of the family's 1533-position model. The record is from RNAcentral.